Ictalurus punctatus (channel catfish) is the source of this 4904-nucleotide long non-coding RNA. Lineage: Eukaryota; Metazoa; Chordata; Actinopteri; Siluriformes; Ictaluridae. The record is from Ensembl.
CCGAUGCUCAGUAGUGAUUAGCGUGGCUCAAGGUCCCUUUCCAGAACCUUCACACUAACUGUCCCUCAAUGGUGGAAUGAACUUCCAACCUAAAUCCAUACAGCAGAAUCUGUCACUAUCUUCAAAAAAUAGUUAAAGACCCUCCUCUUCUGUGAACACCUAUCUAACCCCUAAAACGCCAACCCCACAUUAUCCUUUAUAAAAAAAAUAAUAAUAAUAAUAAUAAUAAAUAAUAUUUAAAAAAACAAAAUUAAAUUUAAAAAAACUUACUCUGGCACUUACACCUCUACUCUGUGCACUUUGCUUUUCUAGAACUCAAUUAAAAGAUCUUGUAUGGUAGCACUAUUUGUAUUGUUCUCCGGCUGAUAUAUCACUUUGCUUGUAUUUCCUCAUUUGUAGGUCACUUUGUAUAAAAGCUUCUGCUAAAUGAAUAAAUGAAAAUGUAAAUAUAAAUGGAUAUAGACCCGCCUUGUUGAGAAUCGUGUCACAGAGUUACUGCCUUUUCCGGUCUCGCAUGCCUAUUGGCGUGUAGGAAAGCUUCUUGUUUGCUUCCUAUGGUGUGUGGGAGAGUAUUUGGACUGUUUCCCACCAUUGACAUGUCUGCAGUCCAGUCACAGCGUCAACGUUGAUUUUGCUCUUGUCUGUUGUGACUGGGAUUCCUUGCACCCUAGACAUACAGUAUAUGCCAUCAAUUAACGGGGAGGAUUCCAUUGCCACGGUUACUGGAGGCUUGCCCUUUUUCUGCGGUGCCUUGCUGUUUUGCUGUUGGCUUGACGUAGAUACUGUGUUAUAGGAUUGGCCAUCUAAUCAUCAUUUCAUCACUGGUGGGGGUUUGAAUUUUCUUGUUGUCUAUCUUGCACUAGUAUAUGUGGUAACUGGUUAGUGUUUCAUGAUCCGAUGAUUCAUGAUCAGUUUUUUGGGGGUUAUUGGGUUUGUUUUUAUGUGGUGUUAUGUUAAUGAAUUAAGUGAUUACAUUUUUCUUGCAUUUUGGUGGAUGUCUUGACAGCUUUAAGGGUCAUUUUGUGUGUGUGGUUAUUCAUAUUUAUCUAGUACUUUCUUAUGAUUAUCUUAUGAUUAUGAUUUUUCGUAUGUAUAUUUGUCAAUUUCUCUUUCUCUUUUGUUAGGAGCCGGGUGUCUAGGAGCAAGGGGAGUUGACUCGUAGUUUUGUGGUGCAUGUGCACUGGUGAAUGAAGGUGAUGAAGGUGAAGCAUGGCUGUGGGCGUCCUGGCCCAAGAGCAUGGCAGGAGUUAUCGUCCAGUAGCUUAUCUGUCUGAAACUCUUGACGCUGUGGUACAGGGCAUGCCUGCCUGUUUACAGGCCCUAGCUGCCUCUGCCUUGCUUGUCUCAGAUGCUGAAAAGAUUGUUCUCUCUUACCCACUCACUUUACAUCCAUAUCAGGUUAUUGCUAUAUUAAAUAAUCUCCAAACACAGCACAUGACGGCGCAGCCCUGUUCGGGAUACGAAGUGAUUCUAUGUGCCACACAAAACCUUACCAUGAAACCAGUAAUCGCCCAUAUGAGUCCCACAGUUCUUCUACAUUGCUUAAUCCGUUCCUGUAGUUCAGAUCAAUUCCCUGACGCCUGGCUCAAACAUGAUUGUCUUAUUCACAUCCCGGAGACCUCAUUUAUUCGCUUAAACCUUUAUCAACAUCCCUUUGAGAGUGGGAUUCAUGUGUUGUGUUCAUUUUGAUGGCUCAUGCUCAAAAUGAAUGAUUAUACUAUCCUAUGUGGCUACGCAGUUUAUUUGCUACCUAACAUCAUUUACAAAGCAUAUUCAAUACCUUUUAAAUCAGUGCAGGCCACAGAGCUGGUUGCUCUUACAAGCGCAUGUCUUCUUUUCCAUGAUCGGGUUGUAACCAUCUACAAUGAUUCCAGAUAUGCCUUUGGGGUAACCAAUGAUGAAUUUGGCAUGUCUGUGGUUUUAAGGCUGCUGAUGGUAAGCCAGUUUACCAUGCUGCACUAGUCUCUGAUUUGUUAGCUUGCUUCCUAACUAACUUGCUGUAGUUAAAGUUUGUGGCCAUGACCCAAGCUAUUCAGAAGCUGCAAAGGGCAACUGUCUGGCUACCAAAGUAGCCACAUGGGCUGCCAAAGAGGGCUCAUCCUUAACUCAUGUUGAAACCUCAACUGUGUUUGCCCUUUUCUUGCACAUUCAUGUCCCUAGCGACAGUGACAUCAUGUUCCUGCAGUCUAACGCCACAGAGAGUGACCUGUCUUUUUGGCAUGCUUAUAAAUGCACACCUGGGGCAGAUGGUAUUAUGCUGUGUCCUCAAGGUCGUGUGGCACUGACUGUUGCUGUUUGACCUUUUCUUGUGUGCCAUUUUCAGUGUUUCUCAUGCCAUACAUAAGGGUGUGAUUAAUAAUAUCAACACUCAAUUCUGCAUCCCAUACAUCAGAAAGCCUGUCAAACUUCUGAUAAUCUGUGCCAGAGCCAAUGUACAGGGCAAAACAGCUAAACACGAUGCCUUAACCUCACCUGAUGCACCCUUUCAGAGUUUAUAGAUUGACUUCACACACACAUGCCACCGGUAAGAAACCUGAAAUAUCUUUUGGUAAUAGUUGACAAAAUCUCCAAGCUUUACCAUAUGCCAAGGAAAAUGCAAAUACUGUUGUCAAAAUUCUUGCCAAAUAAAUAAUACUAUGAUAUGGCAUACCACAAACAAUUGACAGUGAUAAUGGUACCCCAUUUGUGUCAAAGAUAACUCAAAAGCUUUGCAAGUACCUCAACAUUGACUGGAACUUUCACAUAUCAUACCAUCCACCAAGUUCAGGUAUUGUUGAACGAAAGAAAUGCACAAUCAAGGACAGGCUCACAAAGGCAAUAUUAGAAACAGGAAAAAUUAGGUCAACCUGUUACCAUCCGUCCUUUGAAUGACGCCAUAUCCGAAGUCACAAUUGUCUCCUUUUGAGAUCAUAAUGGGCAGAUGAUUUCCUUGGACUAAAGGUAACAAUGGUGUUUCUUUUACAGGAGAUCUGGACAUGAUUGUUUGCGAUUACACACAGACAUUGAUUGAAAAAUUAAACAGUGUGCAUGGUAAUGUUUCUGCCCCUCACCCUCUGCCCGCAAAAAAAGCCUACUCACCCCUUUCUCCCAGGUGAUACAGUGCUGGUGAAAAGUCUCAAUCCAAGGAAGGUUGGCAAAGAAGCAACCAUGAUACCAUUCCCCUGGUUUCUCUUAGCAAUAGGACUUAUGGUUCUCUGUCUCCUGGCUCCCGUGAUGAUAAAGGGACUUCAUCUUUACUCUCAUAACACAUUUUGGCUGUAUGCUAACCUCAUGGCCCACUAGAAAAAUAUAACAACUGCAUUAUCCUGCAAUACUCGGUAGAAACCCCUUUUUCUCUACACCCCCAUCAUCAGUGUAUACCCAGAGUUGGGUAUAAUGCAUUACAAAGUAAUGUAUUACUGUAUUAUAAUUACUUUUUCUGAUAACACAGUAAUGUAAUGCAUUACAUUAUAAAUUUCUAUAACUUGAUUACAAUUACCAAUGUCAAUACAAUUACGUUACUUGCAUUACAAAUUUAUUGUUAAGAAAAUAAUAUUAACUAAAAUGCAUUUUAAAAAUAAAUCACUUUUUGCAUGGCUGCCAGGAGUGGUCUGGGCAUUCAAAGAUUUUUUCUUUAACCACAAAUAAUUAUCCACUUGGAGCGGUUUGUCACUACGUAACUGAAUGUCAGCAAAAGAAUACACCAGUGUUGUCAUUUUAUGUCUUCAGUGAACUGAGACAGGGUUUACAGGAAAAUACGUAGAAACACUCGUGUCUUAUUGGCUGACAGCUCUCACUUCUCCCAAAUGCUAACUCACAGUCAGUGUGAAGAAAAAUGGAUAUACACUGAUUUUUUAUUAGAUUUUUUUUUUAAACCAGUAAAGGGGUUGAAACUAAAACAGUAACAUCCUCUCAUGCUGAGCAGAAAAACAAGGUGUGCAAAUGUCUGAGUUCCAGUUCACAUGAACAUGAUAUGAGCAGAGCAUAAGGAAAGAUAAUGUACUUUGCAUGGCACUGUAGCAGCUAAACCCAUACAACGAUAGCUUAGUUGUAACCCUAACCCUAACCCUAACCCAAACUAGCCUAGUUAGAAAAGUUUUAUAUUUUAUCAGUCUGGUAGUCCUACAAACAGUGACAACACCCAAGGCAAGUUUUAUGACAAAUCCGACUUUUUCUGGUCAUGGCAUACAUUGACACAUGCUAAAAUUACUGAAAGAACUAUGAGUUUCACUUUGUAGUGGAUUUUUGUAGGUUGUAUAGGCUUUGAAAGUAAUUUGAAAGUAAUCUGAUUACUUUUUACAUGCAGUAAUCAAUAAUGUAAUCAAAAUACAAUUUUAAAGUAGUAAUUAGUCAUUUGUAGUGGAUUACUUUUUGAGUAACUUACCCAACACUGAUUGUACAUAAGCUUAAUUCUAUGCUCAUGAGGAUGGCUGGUGCUAGUCUCACCAUGUGGAGACCUGGCCACUUUCAUAGCAAUUGCUUGAUCGUUGCUAAUCACUCCUCAUCAUAUCCAAUGUUUCUUGUUCAAUGUCAGGAUUUGGAUCACAUGAAGCCCAUAUAACUGUAGCUAAGCCUAGUGACCCUUACCCAGUAUGCAUUAACUGCACAAGAGCAAAGAAGGAACUGGGCACCCUGUCCAGGUUCUCUUGUAAAUUUAUCUUUAAUGCUUAUAAUCAGAGUUGUUUGUGUGCCACUUCUCCACGAACAACUCCACUAUGUUCACUUCUCCACCUCGAUUGGGUUGGCUCCCUAUUUAUCCAAGAUUGGUACUGAGUCUGUGGCUCUAAUGCCUACUUUUAUCUUCCUUUUAAUUGGUCUGGUGUCAGUGCCUUUACGUCCUUAAGAAAUCCAAUUACCAUUAUCUCCUAUGAACAUGCUGGUAGAUUCAAGCACUCAGUAAAAUCUGACAAUGAAUUCCCUCCUCC